CCUACGGGAGGCAGCAGUGGGGAAUUUUGCGCAAUGGGGGAAACCCUGACGCAGCAACGCCGCGUGAGUGAUGAAGGCCUUCGGGUUGUAAAGCUCUGUCCAGAGGAAAGAAAUGUGGGGCGGCUAAUAUCCGUUUCACUUGACGGUACCUCGAAGGAAGCACCGGCUAACUCCGUGCCAGCAGCCGCGGUAAU
RNAcentral lists this ribosomal RNA (194 nucleotides) under uncultured Geobacteraceae bacterium. RNAcentral describes it as "partial 16S ribosomal RNA". It matches the Rfam family "Bacterial small subunit ribosomal RNA", at positions 338 to 524 of the family's 1533-position model. Lineage: Bacteria; Pseudomonadati; Thermodesulfobacteriota; Desulfuromonadia; Geobacterales; Geobacteraceae. The record is from RNAcentral.